This is a long non-coding RNA of Dromaius novaehollandiae (emu), 549 nucleotides long. RefSeq lists it as uncharacterized. The record is from RefSeq and is a predicted model, not a curated record. The transcript is spliced from 3 exons. NCBI's taxonomy places the organism in Eukaryota, Metazoa, Chordata, Aves, Casuariiformes, Dromaiidae.
AAUUUAAUGAGCUUUUAAUGGAAUGCAAUGCUCAGAGUAGUAAAUUAUUUGUUAGUUGACGAUGCAAUCAGCAUGCUGAUUAAGGUUGCUUGGUUUUUUACUAAACAUUAACUGAAUGAAAACGGUUAGUCCUUGUUGUUCUGCUUGGGGGGCUUUCGUGAAGCAAAUGGACUUUCAGAACAGAGAUUGUCAAUAAAGGCUCUGCGGAAGAUGCCACGUGCAGAUGUCACACCUAUGCAAGGAGCUUGCAGGCUGCAGCAGACUUACUUUGGAUUUAGAGAUUUUGGCCUAAUGCAGAUACUUCUGGGAAGUUCAGUCUGAGCCAUCUGCACCAGGUGCCUCAGAAAAAAAUAUGCAUUUUCAAGAUAACACUGGAAUCUUCCAGACAAGGAGCCGCUCCGCAGCAGCACAGAGAAAGCAUGGACAGAGGGCGCGAUCCUGGAAAAGAAGACCUGAAAUGUUCUUCUGAUUCAAUCACCUGAAGGAGCAUCAAUCUGUUGGAUUAUAGAUAACACAGUUUUGGACAUCAUUAAAAAUGAAAUAACAGUG